RNAcentral lists this small RNA (22 nucleotides) under Arabidopsis thaliana (thale cress). RNAcentral's name for it is "ATSL124320". Lineage: Eukaryota; Viridiplantae; Streptophyta; Magnoliopsida; Brassicales; Brassicaceae. The record is from RNAcentral.
UUUUUUCUUCUUCUUCUUCCAU